UAUCAGAUUAUUUCCUUUUUUCCCCUGUUAAGUUGGAUAUCAGAUAAUUGGUUAAUCCUUAUCUAUUCAUCAUUUUAUCUUCUAAUUUUUUUUCUUCUCUACUUGGUGCUGAAAGAAUCUCCGUCAACUUCCUUCACGAUCGUGCUCGCAGGAGGAGGAAUACCGGUCGUACCUUGGGUGUUAUUUCCGAUUAAUUCCGCAAGUAAGGACGAGAAUACGUCUUAGGGCAGUGCUUCGCACGCUUCUGGAUAAGAUCAUAUCUUUAUUUGGAUAUUUUGUGUUUAUCUGUAAGUUUGAUUUUAUUUUUAUCACAAAAUUAGUUAGAUUUUAAUCACAAUCAGAUUUUCGUUGUGGUAUUUACCCCAACAAUCUAAGGCGUAUCUUCCAAUCUGAUUGUGAUUAAAAAUCUAACAGGUGCUAAUCUGUUAAUUAAAAAAAAAAAAGUUAAAUAUUUUGGGAUUAGCAUUUAAAUUGUAAAUUGCAUAUAUUUAUAAUUUAAAUUGCAGUAAUUUAUAAAGUUUGAG
RNAcentral lists this long non-coding RNA (524 nucleotides) under Ananas comosus (pineapple). RNAcentral's name for it is "long non-coding RNA (ACOM_LNC000692)". The record is from RNAcentral. Lineage: Eukaryota; Viridiplantae; Streptophyta; Magnoliopsida; Poales; Bromeliaceae.